RNAcentral lists this transfer RNA (73 nucleotides) under Patescibacteria group bacterium. Its description in RNAcentral is "tRNA-Gln". It matches the Rfam family "tRNA". Rfam says of the family: Transfer RNA (tRNA) molecules are approximately 80 nucleotides in length. The record is from RNAcentral.
GGGCCCGUAGUGUAAUCGGCUAGCACUCUGUUUUUGACAGACAGGUGUGCGGGUUCAAUCCCCGCCGGGUCCA